CACCAGGUUUCAUUUGAUUUGUUGUGGAUUGGAUGAUGGAAAAACCAGCAAGAUAUGGCAUCAAAGCUUACCUUAUUUUAAAAAGGAUAAAGGGCUUUUUUUUUAUAGAUGUUGAGGUUGAGUAAGGGGGCAGAGCUUGAAAAGUGAAGUGAGUCGCGCUAGCCUAGCAACGUUUUUCAGCAGCAAGUUACGGCUUAAUGGCCCCCUUACUUAGUUUGGGGAGAUAAAUCCAAAAUCUAAAACGUUGGUUAAGGUUCCUAUCAUUUUAGGCGAGCUACUUCAUUCCAAACCUUACUCUAAUAAUUAGGUAAGCUUUCAAGCAACCUCCUUUAAUGGAGCGGGUGCAGUGAACUAUAAUUGUGAAAAGAUUUGAAGAUUUGGCCAAAAAAGGUGAUAGCCUUAUAGAUUCGUUCCCAUGGUUUGAUCCCUCUUAGUAAAAUAAGGUGUUUUUGAAUUCUUAUCACUUUUUUGAGAGAAAGGGGGACUACCCUAUAAGACUAUGUAUUCCUUAAUGACCGAUAGCAUACAAGUACCAUGAAGGAAAGGCAAAAAGAACACUAUUUACGGAGUGCAAUAGAGAACCUAAGAUCCAAUAUGAAUAAUCAGUCGAAGAAGAAGAGCUUAGAGCCUUUACUUUAUUUAUAGGUCACUUAGUCUAAUGACCUACCUUUUCCAUUUUGGGUUAGCAAAGAAAUGGCGAAAACAGCUUAAGCCAUUAGGUGUUGGCACUUUCUAGAGGUGGAAUCUUCUAGUUGUUUCUAUUUAACCCAAAAUCAACCAUUCUAGCCAUGAGUAGGUUUAAGAGAGCUCUAACAUUCCUUGGAAGACCAAACCCACGUAUGUGGAAAAUUAUAGGGAUGACUUGUGGCUAAGGGUGAAAGGCCAACCAUGAUCGCAUAUAGCUGGUUUUCUGCUAAAUCUAUUUUAGUAGAGCGUAUGAUGUAGAUGGCCUGAGGUAGAGCACUCAAUAGACUAGAGUAUCCUUAUUCCACCUUACCAACCAUAGGGAAACUCCGAAUACAGUCCUAGAUCUCUGACUAUAGGUCUAGAUCAUUUGUACAGAUAGAGUUUUUGGGUGCUAUGAUCCAAAGUUAAGUGGGAAACAACCCAGAUCACACGGUAAGGUCCCUAACCAAUCAAUUAAUGGAAAAGUAAGUGAUCAAGCGAUGACAAGUAGAAGGUGGAAUUAGAAGUAACCAGCCUUUAAAGAAAAUUUAGUAGCUCACUAAUCUAGCUCCAAGCCACCAAAAAUGUUUCAGGCAUCAAGUGAUUCAUUGGAAAGCUUCUUUUUCAAGUGUUAGUAGCAGAAUAUUCUGUCAAUUGGAGAAUGUUUUUGGUGAAAAGACCUAGAGAUAUAAAAAGUGAGGAGUUGGCAUGAGUAACAAAAAUCCCUAUAAAAAACACGAUCGCCUGCCAGUGGAAGGUUUUUUGUGUUUACUCAAUCUACGAAGAGUGAAUCUGUCCUAAAGGAACCCUCGAAAGGUCCUAGUCUGAUGGGUACACAAAAGUGACAAAGUUACUAUGACUACAAAACCAUUCCUGUCUGUUGGAGUGAAUUAGAUGUUUGGGGCGAGGAUGCCCCCUCUUCUCCUCACUAUACUUUCCCUAAUAUGAACCUUGAGUCAUCAAAGCCUUUUUGACUCAGUCAAGUCUGAUCUCCCUACGCGACUGGUGCUUCAAAAUGUAAAACUCUCAGUCGUAGUUUGGUGACCUAUCUUCAGUAGGGUCCUUUAGUGUUUUAAUUAUAGUAGGGGUCACAAGAGAGUAGAGCAUACCACUCUGCCAUAGUCAUGAGUCUGUUUAUUGUCACAAUUGUUGUCCUAAUCAACAAGGUUGAAACUUCUAGGAAAAAACUUUUAAUUGGGAGUGUGAUUCUCUUGGUGAUCUGACCAUAACCCAAACUGAGAUAGGUGAAAAAGUAGAGUAUACUAGGGUGCUUGAGAGAACCAUGUCAAAGCAACUCGAUGAAAUGACCCAGUAACUUUAGGAGAAGGGGUGCUCUCCUAUAUUUUGAUUAGGAAAGCAGCACAUACCAGGGGGUAGCGACUAUUUAGUAAAAACACAGGACUCUGCUAAGUGGUCAAACGAUGUAUAGAGUUUGACACCUUCCUAGUACUGGAAGGUCAGAAAGAGAAGUGUUAUAAGUUUUAAAUAGAAGCCCCAGUAAAUGACAAUAGUAACUCUAAUUAUCCUAAGGUAGAAAAAUUCCUUGUUGCAGAAGUAGUAACCCGUACGAAUGAUGUAACGACUGCCCCACCAUCUCUGACAUAGACCCGAUAAAAUUGAAUUCUUUGUGAAAAAGUGGAGUACUAACGGCUAGACGGUAUGACCCCGUGCACCUUAACUAUAGAUUCAUAGUGACAACCUCAAUCAAAUAUGUAGGGUAGGUGGGAGGUGGUAACACACAAUGACCAAUAUUGAAAGAUCAAUUCAUUAUCUAAGGAUGCCUAACUUCCACACUAAUCAUUAAGAGGGAGUAAAGACACUGUGAGAUGAGUAGUUUAUCUGGGGCGGAUGCCUCAUAAAGAGUAGCGAAGGUAUCCAAAGGUCGGCUCAAGCUAAGAUUCUACUCAUGAGAAUAAUGGUUUAAGCCUAUGUGACUGUGAGACAGACUGGUCACACCGAGAUAAAAGUUGGCCAUAGUAAAAUGGGAGUCCCGUGUAGAAGGGCUCUUGCUCAAUGGAUUAAAGGUACAUCAGGGAUAAUAGGAUGAUGACUCCCAAGAGCUCUUAUCGACAGAUUCGAUUGGCACCUCGAUGUCGAUUCAUCAUAUCUUGGGGUUAAAGAAGGUCCCAAGGGUUUGGUUGUUCGCUAAUUCAAGUGGUACAUGAUUUUGGUUUAGAACGUCGUGAGACUGUUUAGUUCCUAUCUACCAUUGGCGUUAAAUGGAGAGAAACAAAGAGCAAACCCUAGUACGAGAGGAAUGGAUUGGGCUAAACUAUGGUGCACUAAUUGUUAUACCAAUAACAGUACCGAGCAACUAAGUUGGUAUCGAAUAACUUCUAAGCCACGAGAAAUCCUUCUCUAUACAAGUUCUAGGAUGAGGGUUUUGAACAGAACUUUGAUAGGUGAGAGGUAUAAGCACUACGAGGUGUAAAUUGAUCUCGUACUAAACAAAAUGACUAUCACUU
Molecule: ribosomal RNA, 3131 nt
Filed under: Capsicum chinense (habanero)
Lineage: Eukaryota; Viridiplantae; Streptophyta; Magnoliopsida; Solanales; Solanaceae
Description: bacterial LSU rRNA
Rfam family: Bacterial large subunit ribosomal RNA
Source: RNAcentral